UGUUUGUGAUCUUGCAGUUGUAGGAGCAGAUGCCUCUGGCUUGCUUUGCUCACCUUCACAGGUCAGAUAAUUUCAGUUUUUAAAAUCAGCUCUUUUGGCCAUUUCAGAAGCUUCCGGUUCAACAUUAGAAGUUAGGGAUGAGUAUUAUUGACAGGCCUGCUUUUGAUUGGAUUGUACCUGUGGUUUAUAUUUGUUUUGAUUUUUGCAAUAGUUUUAUGAACCUAAUUGUCCUUCUUUAUAAGUUCUAUGAUUACAAUUUUGAUUGUAAUAAAGUUUCAUGUAAGAUUUUG
This 290-nucleotide unclassified non-coding RNA is filed under the name Hevea brasiliensis (rubber tree). The record is from RNAcentral. Lineage: Eukaryota; Viridiplantae; Streptophyta; Magnoliopsida; Malpighiales; Euphorbiaceae.